CAGCCGCCACGGUAAAACGAAGGGGGCUAGCGUUGCUCGGAAUGACUGGGCGUAAAGGGCGCGUAGGCGGUUUUGACAGUCAGAUGUGAAAUUCCUGGGCUUAACCUGGGGGCUGCAUUUGAGACGUCAAGACUAGAGUGUGAGAGAGGGUUGUGGAAUUCCCAGUGUAGAGGUGAAAUUCGUAGAUAUUGGGAAGAACACCGGUGGCGAAGGCGGCAACCUGGCUCAUUACUGACGCUGAGGCGCGAAAGCGUGGGGAGCAAACAGGAUUAGAUACCCCCGUAGUCCCUGUCUCUUAUAC
This 301-nucleotide ribosomal RNA is filed under the name uncultured bacterium. RNAcentral describes it as "partial 16S ribosomal RNA". It matches the Rfam family "Bacterial small subunit ribosomal RNA", at positions 509 to 807 of the family's 1533-position model. The record is from RNAcentral.